This 253-nucleotide ribosomal RNA is filed under the name uncultured bacterium. RNAcentral's name for it is "partial 16S ribosomal RNA". It matches the Rfam family "Bacterial small subunit ribosomal RNA", at positions 524 to 776 of the family's 1533-position model. The record is from RNAcentral.
GACAGAGGUCCCGAGCGUUAGGCGGAAUCACUGGGCUUAAAGCGUGUGUAGGCGGAUGCCUAAGUACCUUGUGAAAUCCCACGGCUCACCCGUGGAACUGCUUGGUAUACUGGGUGUCUUGAGCCACUUAGGGGCUACCGGAACAAAUGGUGGAGCGGUGAAAUGCGUAGAUAUCAUUUGGAACGCCAAUGGUGAAAACAGGUGGCUGGGAGUGUGCUGACGCUGAGACACGAAAGCCAGGGGAGCAAACGGG